AUAUUACAUGAUUUUCUACUUUGUUCUUUCAGUGUGCUUCUCUCUUCCUGUUACCGCCCAUGCAGCAGGCUUGGAAGGCAUAGAGAAAAGUGGGACUGCAAGUUUAGUGCAAGACUAAACUUUCUCAAAUGUGGAUGUUGCCUUGCAAGUUUGGAAAACAAAUCAAAAUACUGUAUGGAUCAUUGAGCAGUCGGAGUGGAGUAAUCUUCCUUCUCUGCUGAUCUGUGACACAAGGGUAACUUGUACCAACUGGAGAGCACAUAUAUGGAAUCUUGGUGACAUAUACAUCUGCUACAAAAAGGAGACGUUAAUCACCACUUCGUUGAGAUAGUUUGAAAGCAAAGUGACUACAAUUACUGCCAUUUUACAGAUGGAAGAGAUGCAGCAUGUAAGAAGCAUUACAGCUGAAAGACCCGAGGAUUGAGCGCGAAUGACCUCUUUGGGGUGGUAAGUGACUUUGCAAGCAGGGGUUUGGAAGUGCCUGGAAGGAGGAGAAGGCAUCUGUGCCCUUUAAAAAAGCAAGACAAGAAAAGAAGGCUUUCAGACCCCUCUUCUGUUGCCUUGUUUAGUCAUGGCUGGAUUAGGAUAUUAUAAACUCAAGGAAUGGUGUAUGUUGUGUUCUGAACUAGAAAGUUAGAAGCUCAUGCAGUCACUGCUGGGCUUAUGUUUCUAACAAUAUCAGAGUGACAGCAGAUUAUUUUUUUUAAGUCCAUACCACUUCCCAUGUUGUCCCUGCCCAGGAAGGUGGUGGAGGCACUGACCCAAGAGGUGUUCAAGAAAUGUUUGGACGUUGUGUUGAGGGACAUGGUUUAGUGAGAACUACUGGUGAUCGGUGGAUGGUUGCACUGGGUGAUCCCAUGAGUCUUUUCCAACAUUGGUGAUUCCAUGAUUUUAUGAUUACUGCUGUAGCAUGCUGGUAGUGGUCUACCAGAUAGAUGGAAAGAAGAAAACUUUUAUAUCUGCAUAUAUAUAAAAUAAAAUAGAAAAUUAUACAGGAAACAAAACUAAU
Long non-coding RNA from Centrocercus urophasianus (Greater sage-grouse), 1009 nucleotides. RefSeq lists it as uncharacterized. The transcript is spliced from 5 exons. The record is from RefSeq and is a predicted model, not a curated record. NCBI's taxonomy places the organism in Eukaryota, Metazoa, Chordata, Aves, Galliformes, Phasianidae.